This 15547-nucleotide long non-coding RNA is filed under the name Triticum aestivum (bread wheat). RNAcentral describes it as "long non-coding RNA (TAES_LNC008909)". Lineage: Eukaryota; Viridiplantae; Streptophyta; Magnoliopsida; Poales; Poaceae. The record is from RNAcentral.
UUUUUGUUAUGUAAGGAUACAAGUCAAUAUGGCAAUUAAAUUGUACCAAAACUACGGAAGAAAUCAUUAAUGCAGAAAAGGAAAGGGGUAUGAAUCAUUGUGCAUUUGCUCCUCUUUAUAAACACCGGUGCGGGAGAGAUACUUUCAUAAAAGGACAACAUUAAGAGAAAAUAAGUAAUAGCAAGGCAGUCAGGAUGAUCGCACUUAUCAAGAAAAAGACACACAUUCUCUAUUGUGUUACUCUUUUGCUGAUGUGUACCACUUUUUUGUGUGGCCCUGCAGCAUCUAGGAGGGACAUAGGUAAUUUCCAAAUACGUUUCUUGAAUGAGUUUCUCAAUAUUCAACAGACCCAAAUGAUUAGGUAUCUUGUAUUCCAUAUGUAUUAAUGUGUAUGUUGUGGUUCUUCCUUCACCGUGUUUAGGUACCAACGCUGCAUUUGGAAACCAAUGUUUUACUUACUCGGUAUGCAUGGACCCAUAUCAAUACGCCGUUGAUUAUUGCAACAAAGAGUGCAAAAUACUUGUCUAUGACGGGCAGAGAGGCUACUGCAAGAAGGAGAAUAACGGCGUGUGUUGUUGUGUUGCUCCCUCCCUAAUGUGAAAAUCAUGUUAUACUAUCAUUUUAUAGAAAACCUUUGCAUGCAUUUGCUAUUAAAAAUACCAAUUUAUAUGGAUUAUACGAGCAUUUCAAUAAAGUAUAGAGGUAGUUGCUUUCGAAGACCAACUUGAUUAGCCGAUCAAUUCUUCGGGUCAUAUGAAACAACAACGAGGCAGCUAAAAAUUGAAAGUACUAAUAAUCUUAAGAAAUUAAAUUGGGGAGUGAAUUGAUGGAAAUAUAUAUAAAAAAUUGGUAAUACAAAAUUUUGCCAUUGAACAAUGUUAGUUAAUACGAAUUGAUGGAUCUACAACUCAAAAAUGUCCAUAUUUCAACCCUAGACUAUCACAAAUGUCUAAGAAUCAACCCCAAACUUUGAAACAAUCUAAAUUGCAAUUCGGAACUGUCAAAGCCGAUCAUGUUGUUGAAGAGGGUCGUGCUCUCCGGCGUGGUGGAAGGCGAUGGCCCUUGGUCGACCGUCUUGUCGUUAUUUUGUAUGAGGCCCAUAUGAUGUGGCACCUCAUAGAUCUUCUCCAUGACCGAAGGGAAUUGCCCAUGCUCAACCAUUCUCCUUGAGGGGCUUUCGAAGAUGGAAGUGUCGCCCUCACUUGUGGGUGGUCUCCUUGGACUUGACGAUGUCGAUGUAGGCGUACUAGUGGAAACUGGGCAAAGAUGCCAUGUGUCCAAAGACGAAGAUGCCUUGAUAACACUUGGCGAAGAUGCUGAAGUGGUGGUCGUAGCUGUAGCUUCCUCUUGGUGGUGCUUGUCUUGCGGUCUUCUCUUGAUCUCUUGAAGCUUGGCUGUAGCUUGAUGUAGAUAUUUUUGGGACUUGUUGGUGUGCGCAUCUCGAGCGUCAUCGUGUUGAUGGUGAUGUUGUCGCGCUUGACCUUGUAUGUGAUGGUGCUCAUCAUCUCGAAGAUGAGGACGUGGUCAAAGCAUGCUUGCCUGGGAUGAGCGCUUCAAAGAUUUGCAACUUGAGCGUCGCCGCCUUGAAGAUGAUGAAGGGGAAGAAGACUUGUAGUUGGCCACCAUGUCUCGUACUUGAAGCAUGUGUGCGUCCAACUUGUUGUCGAUGUAGUCUAUUUUCCUUGCUCCGGCGUGUCGUAUAUCGAUGGCGAGUAGGAAAAUGAGAGAACAAUACCGAAGUUACCUUUCCCGGGGAUUGUGGAUGUAUCAAGUAUCGCUCAAUGUAAUGCUACAAUAGGAGAAUUGGUACCGGGUUUGUUUCUCACACCUACACAAGUAAAGGCUUAUCGAGGAUCUUAGUUAGGAUGAGUGGCACAAAAUUUCAAGCAAAUGGUAGUCAAGAUAUCAAUAAGGUUGAGAAGGUUCACAAAAUUGCAAGUAAAGUGAAUAGAUCAAGCCCAAGAAGAUCACUAGGAACACACACACACGAAAGAUACAUGGGAUCCACACAACCAAAGAGUGAGCUCAAAAUGUGUAACCCAAAAAAUGCUCUUAUUGUAUGGAUGCACGAGAUACACUAGCUCGAUUGCUCAAGUGGGCUAGAUACGCUCUAGUGCACCAACCUAUAAGAGUAAUUGUGUCUUCUUCAAUCCCAAAUAUGCUAUGUAUGAGGUGUCCAUGAAACUAUGCAAAUGGCAUGAGGCUAUUGCUUACAAGCUCUUUGUUUCUCUUAUUUUGCUUAAAAACUUUUCUUUUCUUUCCUUUUUCUCUAUUCUUGAUGCUCGAGCCAAGUAUGAUAUGAGACAAGGAUGUAAGAUAUGCACAGGGGAGACUUAUGGCACAAUGAUGACAGCAAGAUGAUUUGCAUGCUAAAUGUAGCUAUGCGGAGUAAGCGUACCACUAAGGUGCACAAAGAGCGUGGCCCGACAACAACUCGCUACUCUCAAUAGGUAAGUGAUGCAAAAUGGCUCGGGUUAUCAAUACAAGGGCAAGGAAAUGUACUAAGUGUCGUCGAAGUUACCAUCCUUGCUUACGGUUGGCGGUGUCAAAGGUGAAGAUUGUCGGCGAUGACGACUCUGGGGCGAUGGUGAAUGGCGGUGAUGUCGAUGUCACACCAUUCCUAAGUAGCCGAAACACCUUAGGAAACAAAAACUGCAACCCAAAAUUGGUCAAAAUGCGGAAGGUGGGUGAUUUUAUGAUAAAAAAUUUGAUUGAGGCAAAUGGUGGUGGUAAUGAUCUAUGUGGAUGGGGGGAUGUCAAGAGCUACAAAACAACUAAAGAACACAAAAGGCAGACUUGGGAGGUGAAAGUUAUGGCUAAAACGAAGGUGUUGGUCGAUAUGUCUCCAACGUAUCUAUAUAUUUUUAUUGUUCCAUGCUAUUAUAUUAUCUAUAAUAGAUGUUUUAUAUGCAUUUAUAUGCUAUUUUAUAUUAUUUUUGGGACUAACUUAUUAACCUAGAGCCCAGUGCCAGUAUAUGUUUUUCCUUGUUUUGGAGUCUUACAGAAAAGGAAUAUCAAAUGGAGUCCAAACGGAAUAAAACUUUCGCGAUGAUUUUUCUUGGACCAGAAGACAUCCACGGAACUUGGAGAUGAAGUCAGAAGAGUCCCAAGGGCUCCACAAGCCCUCAUGGCGCGCCCUAUGGGGGCACCCCCUGGCUUGUGCCCCCCCCGGGAGUCCACCGACCUCCCUCUCAGCUCUAUAAAUUCACAAAUAUUCCCAAACAACCAGAAGCGUCCACCAAAAUACUUUUCCGCCGCUGUAACCUUCUGUUCCCGCGAGAUCCCAUCUUGGGGCCUUUUUCGGCAUUCUGUCGGAGGGGGAUUCGAUCAUGGAGGGCAUCUACAUCAACUCUAUUGCCCUUCAGAUGAAGCAUGCGUAGUUUACCAUAGACCUACGGGUCCAUAGGUAGUAGCUAGAUGGCUUUUUCUCUAUUUUUGAUCCUCAAUACAAUGUUCUCCUCGAUGAUUGCUACCUCUUGAGCUUGCGUUGGUUUUUCCAUUGAAGAGGAAAGGGUGAUGAAGCAAAGUAGAGUAAGUAUCUCCCUCAGUUUGAGAACCAAGGUAGUAAUCCAGUAGGAGACAAUGCACAAGUCACCGAAUACCUGCACAAACAAUCAAACAAACUUGCACCCAACACGAUAAAGGGGUUGUCAAUCCCUUCACAAUUACUUCCAAAAGUGAGAUAUGAUAGAUAUAGAUAAACAAUAAAGUAAAUAUUUUUGGUAUUUUUGAUUUAUAGAUCGGAAAGUAAAAGAUUGCAAAAUAGUAGAUCAGAAACUUAUAUGAUGGAAAAUAGACCCGGGGCCCAUAGGUUUCACUAGUGGCUUCUCUCAAGAUAGCAAAUAAUAUGGUGGGUGAACAAAUUACUGCCAAGCAAUUGAUAGAAGAGCGCAUAAUUAUGACGAUAUAUAAGGCAAUGAUCAUGGACAUAGGCAUCAUGUCCGUGUCAAGUAGACCGACUCCUGCCUGCAUCUACUACUAUUACUCCAUACAUCGACCGCUAUCCAGCGUGCAUCUAGAGUAUUAAGUUCAUAAAGAAUGGAGUAACACAUUAAGUAAGAUGACAUGAUGUAGAGGAAUUAACUCAAGCAAUAUGAUGAAAACCCUAUCUUUUACCCUCGAUGGCAACAAUACAAUACGUGCCUUGCUGCCCCUAAUGUCACUGGGAAAGGACACCGCAAGAUUGAACCCAAAUCUAAGCACUUCUCCCAUUGCAAGAAAAACCAAUCUAGUAGGCCAAACUAAACCAAUAAUUCGAAGAGACUUGCAAAGAUAUCAAAUCAUGCAUAUAAGAAUUCAGAGAAGAUUCAAAUAAUAUUCAUAGAUAAUCUGAUCAUAAAUCCACAAUUCAUCGGAUGUCGGCAAACACACCAGAAAAGAGUAUUACAUCGAAUAGAUCUCCAAGAACAUCGAGGAGAACAUGUUGGGAAACAAAGAGAGAGAAGAAGCCAUCUAGCUACUAGCUAUGGACCCGUAGGUCUGUGGUAAACUACUCAUGCUUCAUUGGAAGGGCAAUGGUGUUGAUGUAGAAGCCCUCCGUGAUCGAAUCCCCCUCCGGCAGGACGCCGGAAAAGGUCCCUAGAGGGCAUCUCACGGGUACAGAAGAUUGCAGUGAUGGAAAAGUGUUUUCGUGGUUCUCCCUGAUUGUUUUGGGGUAUAAGAGCAUAUAUGGGCAAAAUAAUUAGGUCAGUGUUGGGGAUCAUUGCAGAAAUUAAAAAAUUUCUAUGCAUCACCAAGAUCAAUCUAUGGAGAAACUAGCAACGAGAGAGAGGGGAGUGCAUGUUCAUACCCUUGAAGAUCACGAAAAUGGAAGCAUUGCAGGAACGCGGUUGGAGGAGUCGUACACGUAGCGAUUCCGAUCGCGGUCAAUUCCGAUCUUUGCGUCGAACAACGGCGCCUCCGUGUUCAACACACGUGCAGCCCGGUGACAUCUCCUACGCCUUGAUCUAGCAAGGAGGAGGGAGAGGUUGGGGAAGACAACUCCAGCAGCAGCACGGCGGCGUGGUGGUGGUGGAGCAGUGGUUCUCCGGCAGGGCUUCACCAAGCUCAAACAGAGGAGGGGGUGUUGAGAGGGGGAGGGCUGCGCCUUGGAUGUGGUGCUGCUGCCCUCCCUCCUCCCCUCUAUUUAUAGGAUGAAGGGGGAAGGGGUCCGGCCCCUCUAGAUGAGAUCUAGAGGGGGGGCGGCGGCCAUGGGGAGGGGGCUUGCCCCCCAAGCCAAGGGGGACGCCCUCUUUAGGGUUCCCCCCAACCCUAGGCGCAUGGGCCCUAGGGGGGAUGGCGCCCAGCCCACUUAGGGGCUGGUUCCCUUCCACAUACAGCUCAUAGGCCCCCCUGGGGUAGGUGGACCCUCCCGGUGGACCCUCGGAACCCCUUCGGUGGCCCCAGUACAAUACCGACAAACCCCCGAAUACUACCGGUGACCGUAUGAUGACUUCCGAUAUAUAAAUCUUCACCUCCGGACCUUCCCGGAAAUCCUUGUGACGUCCGGGAUCUCAUCCGGGACUCCGAACAACAUUCGGCAACCACAUAUAAACUUUCCCUAUAACCCUAGCGUCAUCGAACCUUAAGUGUGUAAACCCUACGGGUUCGGGAAUCAUGCAGACAUGACCGAGACAUCUCUCCGGCCAAUAACCAACAGUGGGAUCUGGAUACCCAUGUUGGCUCCCACAUGUUCCACGAUGAUCUCGUCGGAUGAACCAUGAUGUCAAGCAGUCAAGCAAUCCCGUAUACAAUUCCCUUUGUCAAUCGGUACAUUACUUGCCCGAGAUUCGAUCGUCGGUAUCCCAAUACCUCAUUCAAUCUCGUUACCGGCAAGUCACUUUACUCGUUGCGUAAUGCAUGAUCCCGUGACUAACUACUUAGUCACAUUGAGCUCAUUAUGAUGAUGCAUUACCGAGUGGGCCCAGAGAUACCUCUCCGUCAUACGGACUGACAAAUCCCAGUCUCGAUUCGUGCCAACCCAACAAAUUUUUUUGGAGAUACCUGUAGUGCACCUUUAUAGUCUCCCAAUUACGUUGUGACGUUUGGUACACCCAAAGCACUCCUACGGUAUCCGGGAGUUACACAGUCUCAUGGUCUAAGGAAAUGAUACUUAACAUUAGAAAAGCUUUAGCAAACAAACUACACGAUCUUGUGCUAUGCUUAGGAUUGGGUCUUGUCCAUCACAUCAUUCUCCUAAUGAUGUGAUCCCGUUAUCAAUGACAUCCAAUGUCCAUAGUCAGGAAACCAUGACCAUAUGUUGAUCAACGAGCUAGUCAACUAGAGGCUCACUAGGGACAUGUUGUGGUCUAUGUAUUCACACAUGUAUUACGGUUUCCGAUCAAUACAAUUAUAGCAUGAACAGUAGACAAUUAUCAUGAACAAGGAAAUAUAAUAAUAACAAUUUUAUUAUUGCCUCUAGGGCAUAUUUCCAACAGUCUCCCACUUGCACUAGAGUCAAUAAUCUAGUUACAUUGUGAUGAAUCGAACACCCAUAGAGUUCUGGUGUUGAUCAUGUUUUGCUCGUGGAAGAGGUUUAGUCAACGGAUCUGCGACAUUCAGAUCCGUAUGCACUUUACAAAUAUCUAUGUCUCCAUCUUGAACAUUUUCACGAAUGGAGUUGAAGCGACGCUUGAUGUGCCUGGUCUUCUUGUGAAACCUGGGCUCCUUUGCAAGGACAAUAGCUCUAGUAUUAUCAUAGAAGAGAGUCAUCGGGCCCAACGCAUUGGGAAUAACUCCUAGGUCGGUAAUGAACUCCUUCAUCCAGAUUGCUUCAUGCGCUGCCUCCGAGGCUGCCAUGUACUUCGCUUCACAUGUAGAUCCCGCCAUGAUGCUUUGCUUGCAACUGCACUAGCUUACUACCCCACCAUUCAAAAUAUACAUGUAUCCAGUUUGUGACUUGGAGUCAUCCAGAUCUAUGUCGAAGCUAGCAUCGACGUAACCCUUUACGACAAGCUCUUCGUCACCUCCAUAAACGAGAAACAUAUCCUUAGUCCUUUUCAGGUACUUCAGGAUAUUCUUGACCGCUGUCCAGUGUUCCAUGUUGGGAUUACUUUGGUACCUCCCUACCAAACUUAUGGCAAGGUUUACAUCAGGUCUGGUACACAACAUGGCAUACGUAAUAGACCCUAUGGCUGAGGCAUAGGGGAUGACACUCAUCUUUUCUCUAUCUUCUACCGUGGUCGGGCUUUGAGCCGAGCUCAAUUUCACACCUUGCAAUACAGGCAAGAACCCCUUCUUGGACUGAUCCAUAUUGAAUCUUCAAUAUCUUAUCAAGGUAUGUGCUUUGUGAAAGACCUAUGAGGCGUCUCGAUCUAUCUCUAUAGAUCUUGAUGCCUAAUAUGUAAGCAGCUUCUCCAAGGUCCUUCAUUGAAAAACACUUAUUCAAGUAGGCCUUUAUGCUUUCCAAAAGUUCUAUAUCAUUUCCCAUCAAUAGUAUGGCAUCCACAUAUAAUAUGAGAAAUGCUACAGAGCUCCCACUCACUUUCUUGUAAACGCAGGCUUCUCCAUAAGUCUGCAUAAACCCAAACACUUUGAUCAUUUCAUCAAAGCGAAUGUUCCAACUCCGAGAUGCUUGCACCAGCCCAUAUAUGGAGCGCUAGAGCUUGCAUACCUUGUUAGCAUUCUUAGGAUCGACAAAACCUUCCGGCUGCAUCAUAUACAAUUCCUCCUUAAGGAAACCGUUAAAGAAUGCCGUUUUGACGUCCAUUUGCCAUAUCUCAUAAUCAUAGAAUGCGGCAAUUGCUAACAUGAUUCGGACGGACUUCAGCUUCGCCACGGGUGAGAAGGUCUCAUCGUAGUCAAACCCUUGAACUUGUCGAUAACCCUUAGCGACAAGCCGAGCUUUAUAGAUGGUAACAUUACCAUCCACGUCUGUCUUCUUCUUAAAGAUCCAUUUAUUUUCUAUCGCUCGCCGAUCACCGGGAAAAUCUGUCAAAGUCCAUACUUUGUUUUCAUACAUGAAUCCUAUCUCGGAUUGCAUGGCUUCAAGCCAUUUGUUGGAAUCUGGGCCCGCCAUCGCUUCUUCAUAGUUCAAAGGUUCACCAUUGUCUAACAACAUGAUUCCCAGGACAGGGUUGCCAUACCAUUCUGGUGUGGAACGUGUCAUUGUGGACCUACGAAGUUCAGUAGAAACUUGAUCCGAAGUACCUUGAUCAUCAUAAUUAACUUCCUCUCUAGCCGGUGCACGCACCACAAAAACAUCUUCUUGAGCUGCGCUACUUUCCGGUUCAAGAGGCAGUACUUCAUCAAGUUCUACUUUCCUCCCACUUACUUCUUUCCAGAGAAACUCUUUCUCCAGAAAGGACCCGUUCUUGGCAACAAAGAUCUUGCCUUCGGAUCUGAGGUAGAAGGUAUACCCAAUGGUUUCCUUAGGGUAUCCUAUGAAGAAGCAUUUUUCCGACUUGGGUUCGAGCUUUUCAGGUUGAAGUUUCUUGACAUAAGCAUCGCAUCCCCAAACUUUUAGAAACAACAGCUUAGGUUUCUUCCAAAACCAUAAUUCAUAUGGUGUCGUCUCAACGGAUUUAGACGGUGCCCUAUUUAAAGUGAAUGUAGCUGUCUCUAAAUCGUAUCCCCAAAAUGAUAGCGGCAAAUCGGUAAGAGACAUCAUAGAUCGCACCAUAUCCAAUAGAGUGCGAUUAUGAUGUUCGGAUACACCGUUAUGCUGAGGUGUUCCAGGCGGCGUGAGUUGUGAAACAAUUCCACAUUUCUUAAGUGCGUACCAAAUUCGUGACUCAAAUAUUCUCCCCCAUGAUCUGAUCGUAAGAACUUUAUUUUUCUGUCACGUUGAUUCUCCACCUCACUUUGAAAUUCCUUGAACUUUUCAAAGGUCUCAGACUUGUGUUUCAUUAAGUAGACAUACCCAUAUCUACUUAAGUCAUCAGUGAGGGUGAGAACAUAACGAUAGCCACCGUGAGCCUCAACGCUCAUUAGAAUGCACACAUCAGUAUGUAUGAUUUCCAAUAAGUUGGUUGCUCGCUCCAUUGUUCCGGAGAAUGGAGUCUUGGUCAUUUUGCCCAUGAGGCAUGGUUCGCACGUGUCAAAUGAUUCGUAAUCAAGAGACUCCAAAAGUCCAUCUGCAUGGAGCUUCUUCAUGCGUUUGACACCAAUGUGACCAAGGCGGCAGUGCCACAAGUAGGUGGGACUAUCAUUAUUAACCUUACAUCUUUUGGUAUUCACACUAUGAAUAUGUGUAACAUCACGUUCGAGAUUCAAUAAGAAUAAACCAUUGACCAACGGGGCAUGACCAUAAAACAUAUCUCUCAUAUAAAUAGAAUAACCAUUAUUCUCGGAUUUAAAUGAGUAGCCAUCUCGCAUGAAACGAGAUCCAGAUACAAUGUUCAUGCUCAAAGCUGGCACUAAAUAACAAUUAUUGAGGUUUAAAACUAAUCCCGUAGGUAAAUGUAGAGGCAGCGUGCCGACGGCGAUCACAUCGACCUUGGAACCAUUCCCGACGCGCAUCGUCACCUCGUCCUUCGCUAGUCUCCGCUUAUUCCGCAGCUCCUGUUUUGAGUUACAAAUAUGAGCAACCGCACCGGUAUCAAAUACCCAGGAGCUACUAUGAGUACUAGUAAGGUACACAUCAAUAACAUGUAUAUCACAUAUACCUUUGGUGUUGCCGGCCUUCUUGUCUGCUAAGUACUUGGGGCAGUUCCGCUUCCAGUGACCGUUUCCCUUGCAAUAAAGGCACCCAGUCUCAGGUUUGGGUCCAUGCUUUGGCUUCUUCCCGGCAACUUGCUUACCGGGCGCGACAACUCCCUUGUCGUCCUUCUUGAAGUUCUUCUUACCCUUGCCUUUCUUGAAACUAGUGGUUUUAUUGACCAUCAACACUUGAUGUUCCUUUUUGAUCUCCACCUCUGCUGAUUUCAGCAUUGAAUAUACCUCAUGAAUGGUUUUCUCCAUCCCUUGCAUAUUGAAAUUCAUCACAAAGCUCUUAUAGCUAGGUGGAAGCGACUGAAGGGUUCUGUCAACGACCGCGUCAUCUGGGAGAUUAACUUUGAGCUAAGACAAGAGGUUGUGCAACCCAGACAUUUUGAGUAUGUGCUUGCUGACAGAACUAUUCUCCUCCAUCUUACAACUAUAGAACUUGUCGGAGACUUCAUAUCUCUCGACCCGGGCAUUUGCUUGGAAAACCAUUUUCAGCUCUUGGAACAUCUCAUAUGCUCCGUGCUUCUCAAAACGCUUUUGGAGCCCCGGUUCUAAGCUGUAAAGCAUGCCGCACUGAACCAGGGAGUAAUCAUCACUACGCGACUGCCAGGCGUUCUAAACGUCUUGAGUUGCUGGGAAAACGGGUGCUUCACCUAGCGGUGCUUCUAGGACAUAUGCUUUCUUGGCAGCUAUGAGGAUGAUCCUCAAGUUUCGGGCCCAGUCCGUAUAGUUGCUACCAUCGUCUUUCAGCUUGGUUUUCUCUAGGAACGCGUUAAAGUUGAGGGAAAUAUUAGCGUGGGCCAUUUGAUCUACAAGACAUAUUGCAAAGAUUUUAGACUAAGUUCAUGAUAAUUAAGUUGAUCUAAUCAAAUUAUUUAAUGAACUCCCACUCAGAUAGACAUCCCUCUAGACAUCUAAGUGAUACAUGAUCCGAGUCAACUAGGCCAUGUCCGAUCAUCGCGUGAGACGGACUAGUCAUCAUCGGUGAACAUCUUCAUGUUGAUUGUAUCUGCUAUACGACUCAUGUUUGACCUUUCGGUCUCUUGUGUUCCGAGGCCAUGUUUGUACAUGCUAGGCUCGUCAAGUCAACCUAAGUGUUUUGCAUGUGUAAAUCUAGCUUACACCCGUUGUAUGCGAACGUUAGAAUCUAUCACACCCAAUCAUCACGUGGUGCUUCGAAACAACAAACUUUUGCAACGGUGCACAGUUAGGGGGAACACUUUCUUGAAUUUUUUAUGAGGGAUCAUCUUAUUUGUGCUACCAUUGUUCUAAGCAAAUAAGAUGUAAAAACAUGAUAAACAUCACAUGCAAUCAAAUAGUGACAUGAUAUGGCCAAUAUCAUUUUGCUCCUUUUGAUCUCCACCUUCGGGGCGCCAUGAUCAUCAUCGUCACCGGCAUGACACCAUGAUCUCCAUCAUCAUGAUCUCCGUCAUCAUGUCUUCAUGAAGUUGUCUCGCCAACUAUUACUUCUACUACUAUGGCUAACGGUUUAGCAAUAAAGUAAGUUAAUUACAUGGCAUUAUUCAAUGACAUGCAUGUCAUACAAUAAAUUAAGACAACUCCUAUGGCUCCUGCCGGUUAUCAUACUCAUCGACAUGCAAGUCGUGAUUCCUAUUACAAGAACAUGAUCAAUCUCAUACAUCACAUAUAUAUCAUUCAUCACAUCCUUUUGGCCUUAUCACAUCACACGACAUAUGCUGCAAAAACAAGUUAGACGUCCUCUAAUUGUUGUUGAAAGUUUUUACGUGGAUGUUAUAGGUUUCUAGCAAGAAUGUUUCUUACCUACGCCCAAACCACAACGUGAUAUGCCAAUUGCUAUUUACCCUUCAUAAGGACCCUUUUCAUCGAAUCUGAUCCGACUAAAGUGGGAGAGAUAGACACCCGCUAGCCACCUUAUAUAACUAGUGCAUGUCAGUCGGUGGAACCUGUCUCACGUAAGCGUAUGUGUAAGGUCGGUCCGGACCGCUUCAUCCCACGAUGCCGCCGAAUCAAGAUAAGACUAGUAACAUCAAGUAAAUUGACAAAAUCGAUACCACAACAACAUGUGUUCUACUCGUGCAUAGAAACUACGCAUAGACCUAGCUCAUGAUGCCAUUGUUGGGGAUUGUUGCAGAAAUUAAAAAAAUUCUACGCAUCACCAAGAUCAAUCUAUGGAGAGAUUAGCAACGAGAGAGAGGGGAGUGCAUCUUCAUACCCUUGAAGAUCGUGAAAACAGAAGUGUUGCAAGAACGCGGUUGGAGGAGUCGUACAUGUAGCGAUUCAGAUCUCGGCCGAUUCUGAUCUUAGCGCCAAACAACGUCGCCUUCACGUUCAACAUACGUGCAGCCCUGUGAUGUCUCCCGGGCCUUGAUCCAGCAAGGAGGAGGGAGAGGAUGGGGAAGACAACUCCAGCAGCAGCACGACGGCGUGGUGGUGGUGGAGCAGUGGUUCUCCGGUAGGGCUACGCCAAGCUCAAACGGAGGAGGAGGGGGUGUUGGAGAGGGGGAGGGCCGCGCCUUGGAUGUGGUGCUGCUGCCCUCCCUCCUCCCCUCUAUUUAUUGGGUGAAGGGGGAAAGGGGGCCGGCCCCUCUAGAUGAGAUCUAGAGAGGGGGGGGGGUCGACGGCCAAGGGGAGGAGGCUUGCCCCCCAAGCCAAGGGGGGCGCCCCUUUAGGGUCCCCCCCAACCCUAGGCGCAUGGGCCCUAGGGAGGAUGGCGCCCAUCCCUUUUAGGGGCUGGUUCCCUUCCACAUACACCCAUAGGGCCCUCCGGGGCAGGUGGACCCUCCCGGUGGACCCCCAGAACCCCUUCGGUGGUCCCGGUACAAUACCGGCAAACCCCCGAAUACUUCUGGUGACCGUAUGAUGACUUCCCAUAUAUAAAUCUUCACCUCCAGACCAUUCCGGAACUCCUCGUGACGUCUGGGAUCUCAUCCGGGACUCCAAACAACAUUCAACAACAUACAAACUUUCCCUAUAACCCUAGCAUCAUCGAACCAUAAGUGUGUAGACCCUACGGGUUCGGGAAUCAUGCAGACAUGACCGAGACAUCUCUCCGGCAAAUAACCAACAACGGGAUCUGGAUACCCAUGUUGGCCCCCACAUGUUCCACGAUGAUCUCAUCGGAUGAACCACGAUGUCAAGGAUUCAAGCAAUCCCGUAUACAAUUCCCUUUGUUAAUCGGUACGUUACUUGCCCGAGAUUCAAUUGUCGGUAUCCCAAUACCUCAUUCAAUCUCGUUACCGGCAAGUCACUUUACUCGUUGCGUAAUGCAUGAUCCCAUGACUAACUACUUAGUCACAUUGAGCUCAUUAUGAUAAUGCAUUACCAAGUGGGCCCAGAGAUACCUCUCCGUCAUACGGAGUGACAAAUGCUAGUCUUGAUUCAUGCCAACCAACAAACACUUUCGGAGAUACCUGUAGUGCACCUUUAUCGUCACCCAGUUACGUUGUGAUGUUUGGUACACCCAAAGCACUCCUACGGUAUCCGGGAGUUACACAAUCUCAUGGUCUAAGGAAAUGAUACUUGACACUAGAAUAGCUUUAGCAAAUGAACUACAAGAUCUUGUGCUAUGCUUAGGAUUGGGUCUUGUCCAUCACAUCAUUCUCCUAAUGAUGUGAUCCCAUUAUCAAUGACAUCCAAUGUCCAUAGUCAGGAAACCAUGACCAUUUGUUGAUCAACGAGCUAGUCAACUAGAGGCUCACUAGGGCAAGUUGUGGUCUAUGUAUUCACACAUGUAUUACGGUUUCCGGUCAAUACAAUUAUAGCAUGAACAAUAGACAAUUAUAAUGAACAAGGAAAUAUAAUAAUAACCAUUUUAUUAUUGCCUCUAGGGCAUAUUUCCAACAGUCAGGAAACCUACGAAGGGCCCACAAGAUAGUGGGGAGUGCCCUCCACCCUUGUGGCCGAAGGAAAUAUGCCCUAGAGGCAAUAAUAAAGUUAUUAUUUAUUUCCUUAUAUCAUGAUAAAUGUUUAUUAUUCAUGCUAGAAUUGUAUUAACCGGAAACUUAGCACAUGUGUGAAUACAUAGACAAAACAUAGUGUCCCUAGUAUGCCUCUACUUGACUAGCUCAUUUAUCAAAGAUGAUUAUGUUUCCUAACCAUAGACAUGUGUUGUCAUUUGAUGAACGUGAUCACAUCAUUAGGAGAAUGGUGUGAUGGACAUGACCCAUCCAUUAGCUUAGCAUUAUGAUCGUUACAAUUUCAUUGCUACUGCUUUCUUCAUGACUUAUACAUAUUUCUCAGACUAUGAGAUUAUGCAACUCCCGGACACCGGAGGAAUGCCUUGUGUGCUACCAAACGUCACAACGUAACUGGAUGAUUAUAAAGAUGCUCUACAGGUGUCUCCGAAGGUGUUUGUUGGGUUGGCAUGGAUUGAGAUUAGGAUUUGUCACUCCGAGUAUCGGAGAGGUAUCUCUGGGCCCUCUCUGUAAUGCACAUCAUAACAAGCCUUGCAAGCAAUGUGACUAAUGAGUUAGUUACGGGAUGAUGUAUUACAGAACGAGUAAAGAGACUUGCCGGUAACGAGAUUGAACUAGGUAUGAAGAUACCAAUGAUCGAAUCUCGGGCAAGUAACAUACCGAUGACAAAGGGAAUAAUGUAUGUUGUCAUAAUGGUUCGACCGAUAAAGAUCUUCGUAGAAUAUGUAGGAGACAAUAUGGGCAUCUAGGUUCCGCUAUUGGUUAUUGACCAGAGAGGUGUCUCGGUCAUGUCUACAUAGUUCUCGAACCCGUAGGGUCCGCAUGCUUAACAUUCAUUGAUGAUAUAGUAUUAUAUAGUUAUGUAUGUUGGUGACCGAAUGUUGUUCGGAGUCCCGGAUGUGAUCAUGGACAUGACGAGGAACUCCGGAAUGGUCUGAAGAUAAAGAUUGAUAUAUGGGAUAAUAGUGUUUAGUCUCCGAAAGGGUUCUGGAAUUCACCGGAAGGGGUUCUGGAUGUUUCCCGAAAUGUUUGGGUACGACAACACUUUAUUUGGGCCAAAUGGGAAAGCCCACAAGGUUUUUGGAAAGCGCAAAAGGAAGUUUUGCAGAGUCCAGGGGCCAGACUCCAGGGUCCCUGGCGUCUGGGUCCAGACGCUGGGAACCCUGGCGUCUGGCCCUGGAGUCCGAGAAGGACUCUUGCCUUUCGGGUGAAACCGACUUUGUGGAGGCUUUUACUCCAAGUUUCGACCCCAAGGCUCAACAUAUAAAUAGAGGGGCAUGUCUAGCACCAAAGACACAUCAAGAAACACCAAGCCGUGUGCCAGCAACCAUGUCCCCUCUAGUUUAUCCUCCGUCAUAGUUUCCAUAGUGCUUAGGCGAAGCCCUGCGGAGAUUGUUCUUAACCAACACCGUCACCAUGCUGUCGUGCUGCCAGAACUCAUCUACUACUUCACCCGUUUUGCUGGAUCAAGAAGGCGAGGACGUCAUCAAGCUAAGCGUGUGCUGAACACGGAGGUGCCAUACGUUCGGUACUUGAUCGGGAUGGAUCAUGAAGGUGUACGACUACAUCAACCGCGUUGAUAAAUGCUUCCGCUUUGCGAUCUUCAAGGGUAUGAAGAUACACUCCCCCUCUCGUUGCUAUGCAUGUCCUAGAUAGAUCUUGUGUGAUCGUAGGAUUUUUUUUGAAAUUAAUGCAUUCCCCAACAGUGGCAUCCGAGCCAGGUUUAUGCGUAGAUGUUAUAUGCAUGAGUAGAACACAAAGAGUUAUGGGCGAUAAUAGUCAUACUGCUUACCAGCAUGUCAUACUUUGAUUCGGCGGUAUUGUUGGAUGAAGCGGCUUAGACCAACAUUACGCGUACGCUUAUGCGAGACUGGUUGUACCGACGUGCUUCGCACACAGGUGGCUAGUGAGUGUCUGUUUCUCCAACUUUAGUUGAAUCGAGUGUGGCUACACCCGGUCCUUGUUGAAGGUUGAAACAACACACUUGACAAAAAAUCAUUGUGGUUUUGAUGCGUAGGUAAGAACGG